This 377-nucleotide ribosomal RNA is filed under the name uncultured bacterium. RNAcentral describes it as "bacterial SSU rRNA". It matches the Rfam family "Bacterial small subunit ribosomal RNA", at positions 521 to 896 of the family's 1533-position model. The record is from RNAcentral.
UAAUACGGAGGGAGCUAGCGUUUUUCGGAAUUACUGGGCGUAAAGAGCGCGUAGGCGGCUAAUUAAGUUGAAAGUGAAAGCCCAAGGCUUAACCUUGGAACUGCUUUCAAAACUAGUUAGCUUGAGAUCGGUAGGGGACAGUAGAAUUCCUAGUGUAGAGGUGAAAUUCUUAGAUAUUAGGAGGAAUACCGGUGGCGAAAGCGACUGUCUGGACCGUUUCUGACGCUAAGGCGCGAAAGCGUGGGGAGCAAACAGGAUUAGAUACCCUGGUAGUCCACGCUGUAAACGAUGAGUGCUAGAUAUCGGGACCUUUUUUGGUUUCGGUGUCGUAGCUAACGCGUUAAGCACUCCGCCUGGGGAGUAAGGUCGCAAGAUUA